Molecule: ribosomal RNA, 440 nt
Filed under: uncultured bacterium
Lineage: Bacteria
Description: partial 16S ribosomal RNA
Rfam family: Bacterial small subunit ribosomal RNA
Source: RNAcentral
CCUACGGGAGGCAGCAGUGGGGGAUAUUGCACAAUGGGGGAAACCCUGAUGCAGCGACGCCGCGUGGGGGAAGAAGCGCCUCGGCGCGUAAAGCCGUGUCAGCAGGGAAGAAAAUGACGGUACCUGAAGAAGAAGCCCCGGCUAACUACGUGCCAGCAGCCGUGGUACUACGGAGGGGGCAAGCGUUAUCCGGAUUUACUGGGGGUAAAGGGGGCGCAGACGGCAAUGCAAGCGCGGAGUGAAAGGCCGGGGCCCAACCCCGGGACUGCUCUGGGAACUGCGUGGCUGGAGUGCAGGAGGGGCAGGCGGAAUUCGUGGUGUAGCGGUGAAAUGCGUAGAUAUCAGGAAGAACACCGGUGGCGAAGGCAGCCUGCUGGACUGCAACUGACGUUGAGGCCCGAAGGCGUGGGGAGCGAACAGGAUUAGAUACCCCAGUAGUC